GGCGGCGUAGCUCAGCAGGUUAGAGCACACGGCUCAUAAUCGUGGGGUCGUCGGUUCGAGUCCGACCGCCGCUACCA
Molecule: transfer RNA, 77 nt
Filed under: Actinomycetota bacterium
Lineage: Bacteria; Bacillati; Actinomycetota
Description: tRNA-Met
Rfam family: tRNA
About the family: Transfer RNA (tRNA) molecules are approximately 80 nucleotides in length. Their secondary structure includes four short double-helical elements and three loops (D, anti-codon, and T loops).
Source: RNAcentral